This 208-nucleotide ribosomal RNA is filed under the name uncultured bacterium. RNAcentral describes it as "partial 16S ribosomal RNA". It matches the Rfam family "Bacterial small subunit ribosomal RNA", at positions 568 to 775 of the family's 1533-position model. The record is from RNAcentral.
CACGUAGGCGGCUCGGCAAAUCAGUCGUGGAAUCCCGACGCUUACCGUCGGAACGGCGGCUGAAAAUACCGGGCUAGAGGGCGUGAGGGGUCACUGGAACUCCCGGUGAAGCGGUGAAAUGCGUAGAUAUCGGGAGGAACGCCGGAGGCGAAAGCGAGUGACUGGCGCGUUCCUGACGCUGAGGUGCGAAAGCUAGGGGAGCAAAACA